Molecule: unclassified non-coding RNA, 370 nt
Filed under: Hevea brasiliensis (rubber tree)
Lineage: Eukaryota; Viridiplantae; Streptophyta; Magnoliopsida; Malpighiales; Euphorbiaceae
Source: RNAcentral
GAAAUCAGUGAUCAAUACCUCCAGAGAUAUGAGCGGGAGAAUGAGUUUAAUCCUCACCAAAUUAUUCCUUUACCCCCCAGCAACAAAAACUUUACAGCAAUUACCCCUAAAACUAAAAAACCCGGUUCAGCAGGCGUAGAACUCGACCAACUCGUCCAGCGACUCGGGUUGCGGAUCGGCGUUCUCGAGCAUCCACAGCAAGUGCUCGAACAGCACCACCUCGCACCCUACGAAGUUGCUGGCGCCGCCGCCGGAGCGUUCGAUGAGGACUUUGAAGAGGGGGUGGUCGACGAGGUCGGAGCUGAUGAGGUACCGCCGGCGGGACUUUCCGACGUAGACGGUGUGGAAGCCGGCAGGAACCUCGUCGCCG